This 551-nucleotide ribosomal RNA is filed under the name uncultured eukaryote. RNAcentral describes it as "SSU rRNA". It matches the Rfam family "Eukaryotic small subunit ribosomal RNA", at positions 20 to 575 of the family's 1831-position model. The record is from RNAcentral.
GUAGUCAUAUGCUUGUCUCAAAGAUUAAGCCAGGCAUGUCUAAGUAUAAGCAAUUAUACCGUGAAACUGCGAAUGGCUCAUUAAAUCAGUUAUCGUUUAUUUGAUAGUGCCUUACUACUUGGAUAACCGUGGUAAUUCUAGAGCUAAUACAUGCUGAAAACCCCAACUUCGGAAGGGGUGUACUUAUUAGAUAAAAAACCAAUGCCCUUCGGGGCUCCUUGGUGAUUCAUAAUAACUUCUCAGAUCGCAUGGCCUUGCGCCGGCGACGGUUCAUUCAAAUUUCUGCCCUAUCAACUUUCGAUGGUAAGGUAUUGGCUUACCAUGGUUUCAACGGGUAACGGGGAAUUAGGGUUCGAUUCCGGAGAGGGAGCCUGAGAAACGGCUACCACAUCCAAGGAGGGCAGCAGGCGCGCAAAUUACCCAAUCCCGACACGGGGAGGUAGUGACAAUAAAUACUGAUACAGGGCUCUUUAGGGUCCUGUAAUUGGAAUGAGUACAAUUUACAUCCCUUAACGAGGAACAAUUGGAGGGCAAGUCUGGUGCCAGCAGCC